GACGAACGCUGGCGGCGUGCUUAACACAUGCAAGUCGAACGGAAAGGCCCUGCUUUUGUGGGGUGCUCGAGUGGCGAACGGGUGAGUAACACGUGAGUAACCUGCCCUUGACUUUGGGAUAACUUCAGGAAACUGGGGCUAAUACCGGAUAGGAGCUCCUGCUGCAUGGUGGGGGUUGGAAAGUUUCGGCGGUUGGGGAUGGACUCGCGGCUUAUCAGCUUGUUGGUGGGGUAGUGGCUUACCAAGGCGUUGACGGGUAGCCGGCCUGAGAGGGUGACCGGCCACAUUGGGACUGAGAUAGGGCCCAGACUCCUACGGGAGGCAGCAGUGGGGAAUAUUGCACAAUGGGCGGAAGCCUGAUGCAGCAACGCCGCGUGCGGGAUGACGGCCUUCGGGUUGUAAACCGCUUUAGCCUGUGACGAAGCGUGAGUGACGGUAAUGGGUAAAGAAGCACCGGCUAACUACGUG
Molecule: ribosomal RNA, 468 nt
Filed under: uncultured bacterium
Lineage: Bacteria
Description: partial 16S ribosomal RNA
Rfam family: Bacterial small subunit ribosomal RNA
Source: RNAcentral